This 289-nucleotide ribosomal RNA is filed under the name uncultured Aurantimonadaceae bacterium. RNAcentral describes it as "partial 16S ribosomal RNA". The record is from RNAcentral. Lineage: Bacteria; Pseudomonadati; Pseudomonadota; Alphaproteobacteria; Hyphomicrobiales; Aurantimonadaceae.
CUACACGGGUUUCUAAUCCUGUUUGCUCCCCACGCUUUCGCACCUCAGCGUCAGUUGUGAGCCAGUGAGCCGCCUUCGCCACUGGUGUUCCUGCGAAUAUCUACGAAUUUCACCUCUACACUCGCAAUUCCACUCACCUCUCUCACACUCUAGAUCAACAGUAUCAGAGGCCGUUCCGGGGUUGAGCCCCGGGAUUUCACCCCUGACUUGACGAUCCGCCUACGUGCGCUUUACGCCCAGUAAUUCCGAACAACGCUAGCCCCCUUCGUAUUACCGCGGCUGCUGGCAC